CCGCGUUGGCCGAACUCCCAGCAUCCUUUGCAGCGAUGCCAUUGGCCGAGCUCCCAGCAUCCUUUGCAGCCUCCGCGUUGGCCGAACUCCCAGCAUCCUUUGCAGCCUCCAAGUUGACCGAUCUCCCAGCAUCCUUUGCAGCCUCCGCGUUGGCCAAACUCCCAGCAUCCUUUGCAGCCUCCAAGUUGACCGAACUCCCAGCAUCCUUUGCAGAGAUGCCAUUGGCCGAGCUCCCAGCAUCCUUUGCAUCCUCUUGGACAGCCAAACUCCCAGCAUGCUUUGCAGCCUCUAGGUUGACCGAACUCCCAGAGUCCUUUGCAGCGAAGCUAUCAGCCAGAUUCCCAUCAUCCUUUGCAGCCCCUGAGUUGGUCGAGCUCCCAGCGUCCCUUGCAGCGAUGUUAUUAGUUGGACUCCCAGCAUCCUUUGCAGCCUCUGGGACAGCCAAUAUCCCAGCAUCCUUUGCACCCCCUGAUUUGGCCGAGCUCUCAGUGUCCUUUGCAGCCACAUUGUUGGUCGUGCUCCCAGAGUCCUUUGCAGCCCCUAAGCUGACUGAGCUCCCAGCAUCCUCUGGGGCCUCCGGGACAGCCAACGUCCCAGUGUCCUUUGCAGUCUCUGGGGUGGCCGCAUUCCCAGCAGCCUUUGUGGCUAUACCAUUGGCCGAGCUCCCAGCAUCCUUUGCGGCCAGGGCUUCUCCCUCGGCUGCAGGGGCGGGAGAGCCAUUGGCAGGCGCUUUCCCAGCACCCUCAGCGGUGGCCACACUCCCAGCAUCCUUUGCAACCUCUAGGCUGGCCAAGCUCCCAGCAUCCUUUGCAGCUGUGCUGUUGGACGAGCUCCCAGCAUGCUUUGCAGCCCCAGAGUCAACUGAACUCCCAGUAUCCUUUGCAGGUACAUUUUUGGUUGUGCUCCCAGCAUGCUUUGCAGCGUUCAAGUUGACCGAGCUCCCAGUAUGCUUUGCAGCCCCAGGGUUGGACAAACUCCCAGUGUCCUUUGCAGUGAUGCCAUCAGUCAAACUCCCAGCAUGCUUUGCAGCCCUGGACUUGGCUGAAUUCCCAGCAUCCUUUGCAGCGAUGCUAUCAGUCAAACUCCCAGCGUCCUUUGCAGCCCCUGAGUUGACUGAACUCCCAGCAUCCUUUGCAGCUCCAGACUUGGCCAAGCUCCCAGCAUCCUUUGCAGUGAUGCCAUCAGUCAAAUUCCCAGCAUGCUUUGCAGCCCCAGACUUGGCUGAAUUCCCAGCAUCCUUUGCAGCGAUGCCAUCAGUCAAAUUCCCAGCAUGCUUUGCAGCUCCAGACUUGGCCAAGCUCCCAGCGUCCUUUGCAGCGAUGUUAUCAGUCAAAUUCCCAGCAUGCUUUGCAGCCCCAGACUUGGCCGAACUCCCAGCAUCCUUUGCAGCGAUGCCAUCAGUGAAACUCCCAGCGUCCUUUGCAGCCCCAGGGUUGGCUGAACUCCCAGCAUCCUUCGCAGCGACGCCGGUCGCCG
Long non-coding RNA from Apteryx rowi (Okarito brown kiwi), 1476 nucleotides. The record is from Ensembl. Lineage: Eukaryota; Metazoa; Chordata; Aves; Apterygiformes; Apterygidae.